RNAcentral lists this ribosomal RNA (301 nucleotides) under uncultured bacterium. Its description in RNAcentral is "bacterial SSU rRNA". It matches the Rfam family "Bacterial small subunit ribosomal RNA", at positions 29 to 356 of the family's 1533-position model. The record is from RNAcentral.
AACGAACGCUGGCGGCAGGCCUCAAACAUGCAAGUCUAGGGGGUGCAGCAAUGCAUCACCGGCGGACGGGUGCGUAACGCGUGGGAAUAUACCUUUUGGUUCGGAACAACUGCGGGAAACUGCAGCUAAUACCGAAUGUGCCCUAACGGGGAAAGAUUUAUCGCCAAAGGAUUAGCCCGCGUAGGAUUAGCUAGUUGGUGAGGUAAUGGCUCACCAAGGCUCCGAUCCUUAGCUGUUCGAGAGGAAGAUCAGCCACACUGGGACUGAGACACGGCCCAGACUCCUACGGGAGGCAGCAGUU